GAGACCUCUCCCUCUCUAGCUCUGAGAUGGAGGGACCAGGCUGCAGUGACCUGAAUAGAGGACCUAGUUUGGAGCAGGACCGGGGAAAGGCCAAGGGAGCCGGGGAGCUCCCGCUUAGGAAAGCCCCAGGCUGUGGGCCUGGUAACCUGGUCCUGACCCUGAGCUCCGAUUUCUGCCUUCGGCUCUGGCCUCUGGCUCUGACCCUUGGCUCGAAUUUCUGGCUACCAGCUCCAGCUCUAACCACUGGAUAUGACUCCUGCUCCAACCACUCAGCAUGACCACUCACGUCCUAGUCACUGACAUUGGGCCCAUCUCUGAUUGUUCAUCCCAAAAGUACAGCCACAGAGAUUCCCAAAUGAUGUUUGCUAAUGGGAGGCAUUCGCAGUGGAGCUGGAACAAUUUUGACAGUUGGGGUGCUGAAAGUCAGUGGUCCGCAAACUUUUUACCUUGCCCCUUCUUACCCCAUCUAUGCUCCCUCUUCCCCCGAGUUGGGGCCAGGAGUGGGCUGUGAAUCGGGGUAAGGUGACUCAGGCUGGGACCACACCUUGCGGGGCUAGCAGCGGGACCCCGUAUCUGGGACCAGCAGUGGAGCAUGGGGCUGGCAGCUGGGACCCCUCGCAAACUGAUUAACCCCUUGCAACCCAAGUUCCCAUGCCUAUGGGCAUUUGUAGGCUCUCACUAGGUGAUUGCACCGUGUAACACACAGCUUGUAUGAAUAACUCCCAUGUUUGUUUUCCAGGUGCUGUAUUGAGAAUUGCCAAUGAAAAUAUGUCUGUCGCUACUGUGAAUGUAAAACUGUCUGUACUGAAAAGUAAAUACAUUCAAAAUUUCUA
Dermochelys coriacea (leatherback sea turtle) is the source of this 833-nucleotide long non-coding RNA. RefSeq lists it as uncharacterized. The transcript has 2 exons. Lineage: Eukaryota; Metazoa; Chordata; Testudines; Dermochelyidae. The record is from RefSeq and is a predicted model, not a curated record.